AGAAUCAACGCUGGCGGCGUGCCUCAGACAUGCAAGUCGAGCGCGAAAGUCCCCUUCGGGGGAUGAGUAGAGUGGCGCACGGGUGAGUAACACGUAGGUAAUCUACCUUCGGGUGGGGAAUAACCCAGGGAAACUUGGGCUAACACCGCAUAAUGCAGCGGCACCACAUGGUGACAGUUGUUAAAGCGGGGGAUUUUAGGACCUCGCGCCUGAAGAGGAGCCUGCGGCAGAUUAGCUAGUUGGUAAGGUAACGGCUUACCAAGGCGACGAUCU
This 273-nucleotide ribosomal RNA is filed under the name uncultured soil bacterium. Its description in RNAcentral is "partial 16S ribosomal RNA". It matches the Rfam family "Bacterial small subunit ribosomal RNA", at positions 26 to 282 of the family's 1533-position model. The record is from RNAcentral.